RNAcentral lists this ribosomal RNA (321 nucleotides) under uncultured bacterium. RNAcentral describes it as "bacterial SSU rRNA". It matches the Rfam family "Bacterial small subunit ribosomal RNA", at positions 563 to 881 of the family's 1533-position model. The record is from RNAcentral.
AAGCGUGCGUAGGCGGCUGAUUAAGUCAGAUGUGAAAUGCCCCGGGCUCAACCUGGGAACUGCAUCUGAUACUGGUCAACUAGAAUGUGGGAGAGGAGAGUGGAAUUUCCGGUGUAGCGGUGAAAUGCAUAGAGAUCGGAAGGAACACCAGUGGCGAAGGCGGCUCUCUGGACCAACAUUGACGCUGAGGCACGAAAGCGUGGGUAGCAAACAGGAUUAGAUACCCUGGUAGUCCACGCCGUAAACGAUGUCAACUAGCCGUCGGGCCCGCUCUAGGGGUCGGUGGUGCAGCUAACGCAUUAAGUUGACCGCCUGGGGAGU